GGUUUUUUCUUCUUGUGAGCACUGAUAGAUGAGGACCAUCACUUACAGUAAUUUAUAAAAGGAAGCAAGUAGGGUGUUUGUGUGGCAAAGUCUUCUGCAUUAUCAAGUUUUGAUAACUUCAUACACUGUAGCCAUAGUUUAACUCUUGAGUUAAAACUGUGAUUGGUUAUGAAAAUAGCAUUAAUCGUGGAAAGACCUGAGAUUCUGGUGCAUGACCCUGAGGAGAUCAGACGGGCAUCAAGCGAGCUAGGAGAUGAGAUAGCUGGGGAGAGUGUGGAGGAACUGGAAACUCGCACUGGCUGUUGGCAGCCCCAGUGAGGUCUAUAAAUGGGAAAGUACUAAAGAAGAUCCCAUGGAGAAAAAAAACAUCAGAAUAAACUUCAUUGCCCCUUGCUUGUUAUCAAAAGAAGACAUAAGGAGAGAUGAGGCCCCAACAGGACUUGAUAUUCAGAUAGUUACAACAUAAUAAAGGUUUUAAUGCAAGCCAUAAAGAGUUGUGGAGUUGACUACAGAGAAGGAG
This 520-nucleotide long non-coding RNA is filed under the name Fukomys damarensis (Damara mole-rat). RNAcentral's name for it is "lncRNA (ENSFDAG00000025829.1)". Lineage: Eukaryota; Metazoa; Chordata; Mammalia; Rodentia; Bathyergidae. The record is from RNAcentral.